CAAUAACGUAUAUUAAAGUUGUUGCGGUUAAAAGCUCGUAGUUGGAUUUCUGUUGAAAGUGAUCGGUCCUCCCUCUGGGAGCGCAUCUGACUCGCUUUUGGCAUCCUCCUGUAGCGCGUUCCUGUCCUUAAUUGGAUGGGGCGAGAUGCAGGACUUUUACUUUGAGGAAAUUCGAGUGUUUACGGCAGGCAAUCGCCCUGAAGAUAUUAGCAUGGAAUAAUAAUAUAGGACCUUGGUUCUAUUUUGUUGGUUUCUAGAGCUGAGGUAAUGAUUAAUAGGGAUAUUUGGGGGCAUUCGUACUAACCGGUCAGAGGUGGAAUUCUUGGAUUCGGUUAUGACGAACGACUGCGAAAGCAUUUGUCAAGAAUGUUUUCAUUGAUCAAGAACGAAAGUGUGGGGAUCGAAGAUGAUUAGAUACCAU
RNAcentral lists this ribosomal RNA (421 nucleotides) under uncultured eukaryote. RNAcentral describes it as "SSU rRNA". It matches the Rfam family "Eukaryotic small subunit ribosomal RNA", at positions 592 to 1018 of the family's 1831-position model. The record is from RNAcentral.